RNAcentral lists this long non-coding RNA (579 nucleotides) under Nothobranchius furzeri (turquoise killifish). RNAcentral's name for it is "lncRNA (ENSNFUG00015006912.1)". The record is from RNAcentral. Lineage: Eukaryota; Metazoa; Chordata; Actinopteri; Cyprinodontiformes; Nothobranchiidae.
AUGACAGCAAGACAGGGAGACUACCAGUCUAUGGCUAAUGCAUCUGGAGAAGAGAAAGUUGUUUUGGGGAGGAAGUUCUUCCCCAUUGUGGCAGGAAAAACAAAUGGAGCUCACCAAAAACUCAUCAAUGAUCUAAGAAGUCUCGACCAAGUAGAAGUCUACUCUGCUGCUGAUGCCGACUACCUGAUGAUUUUCUGUCCAAUCGCUUCAAGAGUUGAGACUGACAUCAGCCAGGCGCUCAGCGACGUUCCAGCGAACAAAGAUAUAAUUCUGGUGGCGAUGCACCACAUCUUUAAUCCUGAUCAUGUCAUACCUGAAAGCAAGAAACACGUGCACAACCCAAACGUCAUCCUCGCCGUGGAUUGUCUGUUCCAUGAUGGAAAACUCCUCCUUGCUAGACGCAACGAUAAUUCUUGGUACGACAUCACAAAAGUUCUUGGAAUGCCCCAUUCCCAGAUCUCUUGGUUCAAAAAGUGCAGGUCACUCAUUAUUGGAAGAGCUGUUCUUGUUGUUGUUCUUGUUGUUGUUGUUUUGUUGGGUGCCACUCUGCUGGGCCUUCGGCUUGCCCGAAAGUUGUAA